CAAACGGUCCUUUUCAGGACCAACCAAAUAUUCAUAGAAAAGCUA
Lingula anatina is the source of this 45-nucleotide non-coding RNA. Lineage: Eukaryota; Metazoa; Brachiopoda; Lingulata; Lingulida; Lingulidae. The record is from Rfam.